This 380-nucleotide ribosomal RNA is filed under the name Melanderomyia kahli. Its description in RNAcentral is "partial 16S ribosomal RNA". Lineage: Eukaryota; Metazoa; Arthropoda; Insecta; Diptera; Platypezidae. The record is from RNAcentral.
CGAAGGUAGCAUAAUCAGUAGUCUUUUAAUUGAAGGCUGGUAUGAAUGGUUGGACGAGGUAUUAACUGUUUCAUUUAAAUUUAAAAUAGAACUUUAUUUUUUAGUCAAAAAGCUAAAAUUUAAUUAAAAGACGAGAAGACCCUAUAAAUCUUUAUAUUUUAACUAUAUUAAUUAUAAAGAUUUUUUUAAUUAUAAUUUGAUAAAAUAUUUUAUUGGGGUGAUAUUGAAAUUUAAAAAACUUUUAAUUUUUAAAACAUUGAUUUAUGAAUAUUUGAUCCAUUAAUAAUGAUUAUAAAUUUAAGUUACUUUAGGGAUAACAGCGUAAUUUUUUUGGAGAGUUCAUAUCGAUAAAAAAGAUUGCGACCUCGAUGUUGGAUUAA